This 252-nucleotide ribosomal RNA is filed under the name uncultured bacterium. Its description in RNAcentral is "partial 16S ribosomal RNA". It matches the Rfam family "Bacterial small subunit ribosomal RNA", at positions 525 to 776 of the family's 1533-position model. The record is from RNAcentral.
ACGGAGGGUGCGAGCGUUAAUCGGAAUUACUGGGCGUAAAGCGCGCGUAGGCGGUUUGUUAAGUCGGAUGUGAAAUCCCCGGGCUCAACCUGGGAACUGCACCCGAUACUGAUCGACUUGAGUGCGAGAGAGGGAGGUAGAAUUCCAUGUGUAGCGGUGAAAUGCGUAGAUAUAUGGAGGAAUACCGGUGGCGAAGGCGGCCUCCUGGCUCGACACUGACGCUGAGGUGCGAAAGCGUGGGUAGCAAACAGG